GCCCAAGAUGGCGGAAUUGGCAGACGCACCAGCUUCAGGUGCUGGCGGUCGCAAGGCCGUGGAGGUUCGAUUCUUCUCUGGCACCA
RNAcentral lists this transfer RNA (86 nucleotides) under Sphingomonas tagetis. Its description in RNAcentral is "tRNA-Leu". The record is from RNAcentral. Lineage: Bacteria; Pseudomonadati; Pseudomonadota; Alphaproteobacteria; Sphingomonadales; Sphingomonadaceae.